CGGGGGGGGUCUAUCAUGCAGUCGAGCGAUGGAUUAAGAGCUUGCUCUUAUGAAGUUAGCGGCGGACGGGUGAGUAACACGUGGGUAACCUGCCCAUAAGACUGGGAUAACUCCGGGAAACCGGGGCUAAUACCGGAUAACAUUUUGAACCGCAUGGUUCGAAAUUGAAAGGCGGCUUCGGCUGUCACUUAUGGAUGGACCCGCGUCGCAUUAGCUAGUUGGUGAGGUAACGGCUCACCAAGGCAACGAUGCGUAGCCGACCUGAGAGGGUGAUCGGCCACACUGGGACUGAGACACGGCCCAGACUCCUACGGGAGGCAGCAGUAGGGAAUCUUCCGCAAUGGACGAAAGUCUGACGGAGCAACGCCGCGUGAGUGAUGAAGGCUUUCGGGUCGUAAAACUCUGUUGUUAGGGAAGAACAAGUGCUAGUUGAAUAAGCUGGCACCUUGACGGUACCUAACCAGAAAGCCACGGCUAACUACGUGCCAGCAGCCGCGGUAAUACGUAGGUGGCAAGCGUUAUCCGGAAUUAUUGGGCGUAAAGCGCGCGCAGGUGGUUUCUUAAGUCUGAUGUGAAAGCCCACGGCUCAACCGUGGAGGGUCAUUGGAAACUGGGAGACUUGAGUGCAGAAGAGGAAAGUGGAAUUCCAUGUGUAGCGGUGAAAUGCGUAGAGAUAUGGAGGAACACCAGUGGCGAAGGCGACUUUCUGGUCUGUAACUGACACUGAGGCGCGAAAAGCGUGGGGAGCAACAGGAUUAGAUACCCUGGUAGUCCACGCCGUAAACGAUGAGUGCUAAGUGUUAGAGGGUUUCCGCCCCUUUAGUGCUGAAGUUAACGCAUUAAGCACUCCGCCUGGGGAGUACGGCCGCAGGCUUGAAAACUCAAAGGAUUGACGGGGGCCCGCACUAAUGCUGGUAGGAACCUAUGUGGUUUAAAUUAUACGCA
This 945-nucleotide ribosomal RNA is filed under the name Bacillus sp. (in: firmicutes). Its description in RNAcentral is "bacterial SSU rRNA". It matches the Rfam family "Bacterial small subunit ribosomal RNA", at positions 40 to 968 of the family's 1533-position model. The record is from RNAcentral. Lineage: Bacteria; Bacillati; Bacillota; Bacilli; Caryophanales; Bacillaceae.